GAUGAACGCUGGCGGCGUGCCUAACACAUGCAAGUCGAGCGAUUUACUUCGGUAAAGAGCGGCGGACGGGUGAGUAACGCGUGGGUAACCUGCCCUGUACACACGGAUAACAUACCGAAAGGUAUGCUAAUACGGGAUAAUGUACUUUUGUCGCAUGGCAAAAGUAUCAAAGCUCCGGCGGUACAGGAUGGACCCGCGUCUGAUUAGCUAGUUGGUGAGGUAACGGCUCACCAAGGCGACGAUCAGUAGCCGACCUGAGAGGGUGAUCGGCCACAUUGGAACUGAGACACGGUCCAAACUCCUACGGGUGGCU
Molecule: ribosomal RNA, 313 nt
Filed under: uncultured Bacillota bacterium
Lineage: Bacteria; Bacillati; Bacillota
Description: bacterial SSU rRNA
Rfam family: Bacterial small subunit ribosomal RNA
Source: RNAcentral